This is a non-coding RNA of Gossypium arboreum, 145 nucleotides long. NCBI's taxonomy places the organism in Eukaryota, Viridiplantae, Streptophyta, Magnoliopsida, Malvales, Malvaceae. The record is from Rfam.
UGUUAAAAAAAUUCAUCCAUUUCUAUUGUUAAAAGUUGGGAUGAUUAACGAAAAACCAAACAAUUAUACAAGACAUGUCAUGUAUACCUCAUGCUGAUAUACAAAGACCAAAUUUUAACAAUAGGAAUGGAUGAAUUUUUUAACA